UUAAGUUACUAAGGGCACAUGGGGGAUGUCUUGGCAUGAACAGGCGAUGAAGGACGUGAUAAGCUGCGAUAAGCUACGGGGAGUUGCACAAAGACUGUGAUCCGUAGAUUUCCGAAUGGGGCAACCCGGCAAGUUGAAGACUUGUCAUCUCGAAAGAGAAGCGAACCCAGGGAACUGAAACAUCUAAGUACCUGGAGGAAGAGAAAACAAUAGUGAUUCCCUGAGUAGUGGCGAGCGAAAUGGGAACAGCCCAAACCAAAAAGUUUCCGGAUUUUUUGGGGUUGUAGGACUCACAUAACGCGACUACUAAUCCAAAUUGAAGUCGUCUGGAAAGCGACACCAUAGAAGGUGAUAGUCCUGUAAGUAUAAGAAAAGUAGCGUAGUGAGAUUCCUGAGUACCACGGGACCGGAGAAAUCCUGUGGGAAUCCGCCAGCACCAUCUGGCAAGGCUAAAUACUCGUUCAUGACCGAUAGUGUACCAGUACCGUGAGGGAAAGAUGAAAAGAACGCUUAGUAAGCGAGUCAAAAGUACCUGAAACCAUGUGCCUACAACCAGUCGGAGCCCCUAUGUGGGGUGACGGCGUGCCUUUUGCAUAAUGAGCCUACGAGUUGCGCUUGACUGGCAAGGUUAAGACCUUAAGGGUUGAAGCCGAAGCGAAAGCGAGUCUGAAUAGGGCGUAUAGUCAGUUGAGGCAGACGCGAAACCGGGUGAGCUACCCAUGACCAGGAUGAAGUAGUGGUAACACACUAUGGAGGUCCGAACCAGUGAACGUUGAAAAGUUCUUGGAUGAGUUGUGGGUAGGGGUGAAAGGCCAACCAAACCCGGAAAUAGCUCGUUCUCCCCGAAAUGUAUUUUGGUACAGCGUCGUAUUAGUGUACGGAAGGUAGAGCACUGAUAAGGCUAGGGCCCUUCGCAGGGUACCAAACCUUGACAAACUCCGAAUGUCCGAUACAUGGUGUACGGCAGUGAGGGCACGGGAGAUAAGUUCCGUGUCCGAGAGGGAAAGAACCCAGAUCAUCAGCUAAGGUCCCUAAGUACAAACUAAGUUGAACAAAGGAUGUUCGACUGCUUAGACAACUAGGAUGUUGGCUUAGAAGCAGCCAUUCAUUUAAAGAGUGCGUAAUAGCUCACUAGUCGAGCGGUUGAGCGCCGAAAAUAAUCGGGCAUCAAGUUUGUCACCGAAGCUAUGGGCUUCUUUUAAGAAGCGGUAGGGGAGCAUUCCAGCGACGCAGAAGUCGUAAGCGUGAGCUACGGUGGAGUUUCUGGAAACGAAGAUGUAGGCAUGAGUAACGAUAAGACGGGCGAAAAACCCGUCCGCCGUAAGCCCAAGGGUUCCUGAUCAACGUUAAUCGAAUCAGGGUUAGUCGGGUCCUAAGGUGAGGCCGAUAGGCGUAACCGAUGGAAAACAGGUUAAUAUUCCUGUACCACCCAAAAACGUUAACUUAAGGCGGGACACAACCGUGUAGCAUCCGCGAACAGACGGAUGUUCGUUGAAGCCGUGUAGGGCGUAGCGUAGGCAAAUCCGCGCUGCAAUAGCCUGAGCGUUGCGACAGUAGCUGGAAUCUUCGGAGGAUGGCAUAGUGGUGUAAAGCGGUUGUCUAGAAAAGCGUCGUAAGUUGUUUAGGGUGUCCGUACCGUAAACCGACACAGGUGGGCGAGGAGAGUAUCCUCAGGCGCUCGAGUGAUGUACGGCUAAGGAACUCGGCAAAUUAGCCCCGUAACUUCGGGAUAAGGGGCGCCCCCCCACAUAUAAAAGCGUGAGGGGGCCGCAGUGAAAAGAUCCAGGCGACUGUUUAACAAAAACACAGCUCUCUGCUAAAUCGCAAGAUGACGUAUAGGGAGUGACACCUGCCCGGUGCUGGAAGGUUAAUUGAGGUGCUUAGCGCAAGCGAAGGUGCUGAUCGAAGCCCCAGUAAACGGCGGCCGUAACUAUAACGGUCCUAAGGUAGCGAAAUUCCUUGUCGGGUAAGUUCCGACCUGCACGAAUGGCAUAAUGAUGGGGGCGCUGUCUCCAGCAGAGGCUCAGUGAAAUCGAAAUCGCCGUGAAGAUGCGGUGUACCCGCGGCUAGACGGAAAGACCCCGUGAACCUUUACUGCAGCUUGACAUUGAACUUUGAUCUUACUUGUGUAGGAUAGGUGGGAGGCUUUGAAACCGAGACGCUAGUUUCGGUGGAGCCAAUCUUGAAAUACCACCCUGGUAAUAUUGAGGUUCUAACUCUGUCCCGUGAUCCGGGACGAGGACCAUGUCUGGUGGGUAGUUUGACUGGGGCGGUCUCCUCCUAAAGAGUAACGGAGGAGUACGAAGGUGCGCUCAGACCGGUCGGAAAUCGGUCGUAGAGUAUAAAGGCAAAAGCGCGCUUGACUGCGAGACAGACACGUCGAGCAGGUACGAAAGUAGGUCUUAGUGAUCCGGUGGUUCUGUAUGGAAGGGCCAUC
RNAcentral lists this ribosomal RNA (2437 nucleotides) under bioreactor sludge metagenome. Its description in RNAcentral is "bacterial LSU rRNA". It matches the Rfam family "Bacterial large subunit ribosomal RNA", at positions 3 to 2446 of the family's 2925-position model. The record is from RNAcentral.